AGUAUUGCCUUUUGGUUUAAUAAUGGUUUUAUGGCCUUCUUUGUUGUCUGAUGCCCCUGUAAUUUUUCACAUGUUCUCAAAUUGAGUUAAGAACCAUCUCUAGAUAACAGCAUAUGUAAUGCAAUCUAUUAUGAGUUUUGUGUUCUUGAUAAAAGCUGCACUUAGUUAACAAUGGUUCUUUAUUCUAGAAUAGUUUGAUUUUGACAUGUUUAUUUAUGACAGCUAGUGUUACACAUCCAAAGUAUCUCAGCAGUAAAAAGGUGGGUAGCAGUUGUGGUAGACUCGGUCAGCAAAUAGGUGAAAUCAUUAUCCCAUUUUCAGCAAGCAGUUGAAGCCAUUAUCCUAUUUCCUAGUUUCAUGAUCUUGUUCCAUUAUCCUCAUUGCUUAAACGUAGGAAUUAGCUGUUGUAUUUUUAUGGUAUUUAAACUCUUCUUAAGCAGCAAUGAAGGAGGCAAUUAUUGAAUCCAAAAUCUUGUGGUUUAUUCUCAUCUGAAGAGAAUUUCUUUACUAAUUUCCUUUGGCUUCUGGGGACCUAUCAGCUAGCUAGCUUGGUUUUAUAUUUGCAGUUUCCUCAUUUAAAGCUAUAACUGUAAUAUGGUCUUCCUCCUUUCCCAUUUGUGUUAAAGAUUCAUAUUAACUAAUCUUUUAUUUUUUUCUUCCUUUGGUUUGCAAGGUAAAGUAUCAUCAUUCCUUUGCAUCAAGGUUGAUAAGCCUUACUACUCGAGUGCAGGUUAUGUUGAUGCUCUGCACUCAAAUGUCAUUCCUUUCCGAAUGGAGCCACUUGGACCUGCUGCCGAUUUUGGUGAUGUUUCAGGUGCUAUUGAUGUUUAAUGGUGUCGUACAACUGUUGGGAGAGCAAGCUAGGCAAACAAAGUGACUAUUCUGGACAUUACAAUCCCGGCUCCUUCUUUGACUGGGAAACAAGGAGUGAACUCCCUUCUUGGGAACUUGCAUCCUUUGACACCAGAAAUGGCUGAGAAUGUGGAAGACUCACAGGCACUGGAAUCGAUGACCAUUCAUGGAGCCCUUGCAUCAGGAGUCCAUCAAGCUUUAGUGUUGAAGUAAGGAACGCAAUUCAUGCUCCAUAUGAACAUGCAAUAAUAAGGCCGAUGAUUUGCCAGUUAUCUGUUGCCCGUCGUCGCCUUCCAAUAACCUUGCUGUUUCCUUUAAUUUUUGGGAAUUUUGUGGGCCAACAUGGUGAACUGUUGGACAGCCCAAUUGUAGGUUCUUGUCCAAGGAGCUCACUUGAUGUCAAUUCAAUCUCCAUUGCAGCAAACUGCGUUCUAGUAGUGCUAUCUUGCCAUUUUUGCAGCAUAGGUUAGGGAAUCUUUGUUGAUUUGGUAUAGAAAGAGGAGCCCCUGGGGCUGAGUUGCUUAGGAGUUGGGGAUUUGGAAAUGACAACGUAGAGGACAUGAGAGAGGCAGCGUCUAAAAUGGUUGCAGCGUUGGAUCCUUACUCUCAAGUGUCCUCAGAUUCAGAUUAGGAUUAUGGAAGUAUGAUGGAGGUGGACAUUUAUGAACAUGACGAAAAGAUGACGAGUAUGGCAGAUGAGGCGGUGGAGAGACAUUCUACAAGUUUAACUGAUAAGCUGAUGCAUCUUUUCUAGAACAUAAUUUCUCAUCUUGGUGUUUGUUGGUUUACUAUGCUUUGUGUAAAGGGAAAAAGUGAACCUUUCCAAGUUUCAAAUGAACUCCAAAGAAGGAGAUUGCACUUCACUUU
Non-coding RNA from Carica papaya (papaya), 1719 nucleotides. Lineage: Eukaryota; Viridiplantae; Streptophyta; Magnoliopsida; Brassicales; Caricaceae. The record is from RefSeq and is a predicted model, not a curated record.